RNAcentral lists this ribosomal RNA (377 nucleotides) under uncultured Serratia sp. Its description in RNAcentral is "bacterial SSU rRNA". It matches the Rfam family "Bacterial small subunit ribosomal RNA", at positions 521 to 896 of the family's 1533-position model. Lineage: Bacteria; Pseudomonadati; Pseudomonadota; Gammaproteobacteria; Enterobacterales; Yersiniaceae. The record is from RNAcentral.
UAAUACGAAGGGGGCUAGCGUUAAUCGGAAUUACUGGGCGUAAAGCGCACGCAGGCGGUUUGUUAAGUCAGAUGUGAAAUCCCCGGGCUCAACCUGGGAACUGCAUUUGAAACUGGCAAGCUAGAGUCUCGUAGAGGGGGGGUAGAAUUCCAGGUGUAGCGGUGAAAUGCGUAGAGAUCUGGAGGAAUACCGGUGGCGAAGGCGGCCCCCUGGACGAAGACUGACGCUCAGGUGCGAAAGCGUGGGGAGCAAACAGGAUUAGAUACCCUGGUAGUCCACGCUGUAAACGAUGUCGAUUUGGAGGUUGUGCCCUUGAGGCGUGGCUUCCGGAGCUAACGCGUUAAAUCGACCGCCUGGGGAGUACGGCCGCAAGGUUA